GAAUUUUAUGAAUUAAAAUAAAUAAAUAUUAAAUUAAAUUCAUUUUAUUGGGAGGAUAUUUAAAUUAAUAAAACUUUAAUUAUAAUUUAUACAUUAAUUAAUGGUAAAAGAUGAAUAAAUAUUAUUUAAAUGAGAAUAAAUUACCUUAGGGAUAACAGCAUAAUAUUAUUUUGUAGUUCCUAUAUAAAAAAAUGAUUAU
Molecule: ribosomal RNA, 199 nt
Filed under: Hypoponera sp. B GR-2021
Lineage: Eukaryota; Metazoa; Arthropoda; Insecta; Hymenoptera; Formicidae
Description: partial large subunit ribosomal RNA
Source: RNAcentral